UGCAGAAAGAAUACAAUGAACCCUUAUAUACUCAUCUGGUUUAUUAACAAUCUGCCAGUCUUGUUUCACCCAGCAUCUCCCAUACCCAUCUGGGGGGUAUUUUCUGGAGUAUUUGAAAGCAAUCCUCAGAUCUGCCAUUUAACCUACAGCUCCUUCAGUAGGAAAUUCCAAAAGAUAAAGACUUUGUUAUGCAGCUACUCUGCUGUCAUCACACCUAACAAAAUGAACAAAAAUCCCCUAAUACGCAGCCACGUUUCUAGCCUAGCAGCCACGUUUCUAGCCUAGCACGGCGGCAGAAGUACUAGCUGACAGCCGCAGGCAGGGGUGGCUUAGCGGAAAAGGAGUUUUGCAGGGGACAAGCUUCCCCGUUAAGGUCCUUGAGUUUCCAGAGCAGAAGGUCACUGUAGCCUGUGGUAUGUCUGAGAAGAUGUCCUGGUCCUGGACAGGGGCCUCUUGGCCUUGGGAUCUCUCUACAAGCAGAGCUGGCCACCCUAGGCCAGACAAGGAGGCAGGGCCCCCACCGGCUCAGGACCACCCUUCAGCCACCUCUGGGUCCACCUUGGAUCAACAUGACUAAGUUCUGGCCAAUGUGCCAGAGUGCAAGUGCCACCUGGCCAAGAAGAAUCAGAAAGGUGCCAUCUUGCACCGUGAAGAUGGGGCCCAACCCUAGGGAAGGUGGCAUGCUGAGCUGGAAGGAAUUAGACCCGUGUGGACUCUGACACAUUGCUGCCUUACUGGGCUGGCUACCUCACUGUAGAGAGCAAAAUGGAGUCUCUCAUGUCAAACAGGAGCCUGUGUCAAGCAACGAUACAAGCAGUUAAAGCUCUCUUUAACAGAUACGGAAACCGAAUCUCAGAGAAUUGAAGCAAAAUGCCCAAGGUCACGGAGGAGCUGGGACUAUGCCUCCAGCUAGUCUGACUCGUCAUAAGUCAGAAUACACCCCAGUCGACAGAGCUGCACGGACACAGGAGCCACGAGCCACAUGUUCAGUGUUUGACAAGUCUUGUAAGGUUUUGGAGUGUCCAGUGUUUAUUCCUACCUGGGGAAAUGAGUUGCCUCUUACCUUACAAAAAAGUGUGAGAAGACUUCCGGGAUGAAAGCUGAGGUCCCA
This is a long non-coding RNA of Ailuropoda melanoleuca (giant panda), 1111 nucleotides long. RefSeq lists it as uncharacterized. The record is from RefSeq and is a predicted model, not a curated record. The transcript is spliced from 3 exons. NCBI's taxonomy places the organism in Eukaryota, Metazoa, Chordata, Mammalia, Carnivora, Ursidae.